UACGUAGGGGGCAAGCGUUGUCCGGAUUUAUUGGGCGUAAAGAGCUCGUAGGCGGUUUGUCACGUCUGCUGUGAAAUCCCGAGGCUCAACCUCGGGCCUGCAGUGGGUACGGGCAGACUGGAGUGCGGUAGGGGAGAAUGGAAUUCCUGGUGUAGCGGUGAAAUGCGCAGAUAUCAGGAGGAACACCGGUGGCGAAGGCGGCCCACUGGAUCGGUACUGACGCUGAGGUGCGAAAGCGUGGGGAGCAAACAGG
Molecule: ribosomal RNA, 253 nt
Filed under: uncultured bacterium
Lineage: Bacteria
Description: partial 16S ribosomal RNA
Rfam family: Bacterial small subunit ribosomal RNA
Source: RNAcentral